This 3624-nucleotide long non-coding RNA is filed under the name Marmota monax (woodchuck). The record is from RNAcentral. Lineage: Eukaryota; Metazoa; Chordata; Mammalia; Rodentia; Sciuridae.
GUUCGGGGCUGGGCUGUGUGUGCUGUUCCUUGCGAUGCUGGGCAGUCCUGGACACUACUAGUUGGGCAGGGCGACGGCGACACCAUCCUGGGUCCCUGGGAGAAGUAAGAGCGGGAAGGUUAGUAGGGCAGUCCCUUGCCUGGCCCUUGGCCCUAACGCAUCUUCUGCCAACCUCAACCCCGCCCCAAGGGUGCGCUCUGAUCUCGGCCCAAGGCCUCUGGCGAAUGCUGAAUAAGUUGCCCCCCAUCCUCUGCACGCUUCUCCCGGAAGGGUCUCUAAACACUCCUGCCUGUGAGGGUACUCGCGUGGCUUCCUCGGCUCCUGGUGAACGCGGUCGCGGGCUAGUGGGGGAAGUGGGCCCCUGGGAACCGGCGUGUGUAGGACAUCGGGGAAGGAGCGAGUGGAGAGGGCAGAAUUCCUGUUCCUGGCAAUCUUCCAGCCUGGCGCGUGGAGCCAGCUCGAGGUUCAUUUGCGUGGAUUUAGUAACGGAGGGAUCGAAAACAUCCUCAAUCCUCGAAGCUGUCCCCUUCUCUGAGCCCUUAGAGGCCUGCACAUUCUUUGGCAGAACAAUUUCGGAAAUUCUCAGUCUGUGCUAGGCAUAAGCUCUAGCCUUUUCCACCAAGUAGCAAAGAUAGACAUGUAAACAAGUUUGGACACAGUGUGAUGACUGCAACAAAAAGAAGCAUUAUGAGGUUAAAUGCAAAAGGCUAACAUUAACUACUGCGGAGGUUGUAGGAAAGGCCUCCUGAGGUAAGCUCCGGCGAAAUUGGAGAUUGAGAGACUAAAUGAAAUGUGUGGGAGUGCAUUUCCAGUAGAAAGAAUGCAUAUAGUCAGUCCCUCACCUGACUGAGUGGCGCAAUCAGAGGUAAACUGAACAGGUAAACUCAUCAUGAAGAACAUAAAAUGAGCCAAACUCCCUGUCCUUAUCGCUCCCCUGCAAGGUUGACUUUUUUCUGGUGAUGGUGUGUGUGGGGGGGUUGUAUUUGGGGGAGGUUUUGUUGUUGUUGUUGUUUUGUUGUGGGUUUGGGUACUGAGGAUUGAAUUCAGGGAUUCUCUACCACUGAGCUACAUUCCCAGCCCUUUUUAAAAAAAUUUCAGGACAGGGUCUCCAUAAAUUGCCCAGGCCAGCUUCCAACUUGUGAUCCUCCUUUUUUAGCCUCCCAAGUAGCUGAGAUUGCAAACCUACCACUUCACCUGGCUCCGUGUAGGGUUUUAAGAGGGUUGCUUUAUUUUGAUUUUCUUGUUGUUUUAUUGUUUUCGGAUAUAUAAUGCACAUACAUUCAAAUUACAAAAAAAGUAGACACAUCAGCCACUGUAUUCUUUCUAGUGGCAAACAGUGUACCCUGUUCCUUGUAUGUUUUUUCAGAGUCUACAAAUAAGCACUUUAUAAAGAUGUUUUUUCAAGAGAUAUUCUAAUGCCCAUUUAAAGUGUGAGAGGCAAUUACCUAUUUAUAAUGCAUCCAUUUAUAAAAGGUGGACUGAAAAGAGGCAAAACAGAAAGCAUGGGUAGCUGGUAUAUAAAUCUGAGGGCACAGUCUAUUCACAAUUGUUAUCUUCAGCUUUUGGCAUAGUGCCUAACACAAAAAUAUUUUCUGAAUGAAUGUGUGUGUGUACCUUCCAUGCUUUUGCUUCUCCAGAUCAAACCCAGGGUCUCUCAUGUGCUAGGCAAGGGCUGUACUCCUGAGUUAUACCCCAUUCUGAAUGAAUUAAUUAAAUGAGAAAAAUGUAAGCCUAGAUUAAGACAGUGGCAAUGGAAAGAAAAACCAAUCAGAAAUAUUUAAAGGUCAGAGUCUAUAGAACUUAGUGACUAUAAUGAUUAUUUUUAUGUAUUUUCUUGACUAGGCCAUGAUACCUAUGUUACCCAGUCUUUAGUCAAACACUGAUUGUUAUGAAAAUAUCUGUUAGAUAUGAUUAAUAUUUAAAUCAGUAGACUUUGAGUAAAGCAGAUUACUCUUCAUAAUUUAUAAGGGUCCAUCCAAUCAGUCCAAAUUAAAAAACUUCAGGAAGAAGGCAUUCUGCCUCCAGACUGUAGUAUUAAAUCUCCCUUAGGUCUUUAUUCUACUUGUUUAUCAUGCAGAUUUCAGACUUGCCAGCACCCACAACCUUAAAAUAAAUCUCUUUCUAUUAUGCACAUCCUAUUGAUUUGUUUCUCUGGAGAAUCCUAACUAGUGAUUGACUGAAUAUGGAGGAGGAGUGGGAGACACAAGGAAAAGUUGAUCUCUUUGAAAGUGAGUGAUGGUGACAGUUAUCUAGUUGCUCAAGUCAGAAACCUGGGAGCUAUUCUUUUUUCUUCCUCUCUCUUACCCCUAAAUUCCAUUCAUCAUCAAGUCUGGAUCUGUUUUCCAGUAUUAAUCUCGAAGAUAUUUAUCCCCGUGUCUCUUGCUACUACCUUAAUCCAAAAUUUGGUCAUUCAGUUUUCAUUCUUUACCUUCCACAAUCCAUUCACUACACACCAAGCAGUUUAAUUUAAUGUGUUAAUCAGAUAGUACCACUCCCCUCCAGUUGAAAUCCUUUUAAUGGCUUCUUCUAUUUUUUAUUUUUUUUUUAAGUCCAGCUUCUUUUCAGGUCCUGCAUAGACUGACUCCUACAUCUCACCAACCCCUUUCCUAUAAUGCCUCCCCCACACACAGACACCCCCCACACACACACACACCACUGCCAUUCUCUAUUAUUAAUUCCAUUUAACCUUCUAAGGCUACUAAGCUUUUUCCAGUUCAGGAGGUUUCUACAUACUGUUCUUUCUGCUUACAGUGUUUAUUUUUCCCCCAUGCUUUGCAUGGGGUCUCUUCUUUCACAUCAAAGCUCAAAUGUUAUCUCUACAGAAAGCUCUUUCCUGAUCUCCCUCCUGCAAAGUACCUCCCCAAUUAUUUUCUAACUCAUCACUGUUUUUAUCAUAAUAUUUAUCCUAUAUCUUGUUUAUUCAGUAUCUAUUAGGAACACAAGUACCUUGUCUUAUUUUUUACUACGUAUUACUAGUGCUUUGACACAUGGUUAAAUAUUGAUAAAUUCUUUUGAAAAUGGGUGAAUGGUGGCUCCCUUCAUAGUAAAGAAUACAGGAUCAAUUAAGUUUGACCACACAGGUCUUGACAUUUUUGUAGGACAUCCAAAAUGAAAAUGUGUGAUGCACUUUGGAGCUCAAGAGAACUGGACCACAGACACAGAAUUAGGAGUCAUAUGAUUAUUGUGGUUGGUAAAAUGAUGUGAAAAUUGAAGUUAUCUGAAUAUGGCAUAGAUUGAAAAAAAUAUUGAAGGACAUCAACAUUUAAGGAGCAAUCACAAGAAAAAGAUAUAGGGAGGACAGUAAAUAUUUAAAAAUUAUUGUUGUAUUCUUCCAGUACCAUCAUGUGUAUAUGUGUGUGGAAAACAAAUGUGUAUGUGUGUAUUUUAAAAUAAUGUGGGACUUGGUAUAUUAAAAAAUUCACUAUAUGGAAGUCAGAAGACCUUCUUCUAGUCAUUCAAAUGAUAAGAUUUUAUUGAGCUGAAUACUGAAUACUUCUAGUGUGUAUGUGGUGGGGAAGGGCUUACAGUCUUUUCCUCUUUUUCUGGAAAUUGCCCUAGUUAGUAUACAAGAGUGGGUGUGCUCUCCAAAGCCAUGUCUUGUGACUUACCAUAGUGACUUACCAC